RNAcentral lists this long non-coding RNA (23720 nucleotides) under Spirodela polyrhiza (greater duckweed). Its description in RNAcentral is "long non-coding RNA (SPOL_LNC000032)". The record is from RNAcentral. Lineage: Eukaryota; Viridiplantae; Streptophyta; Magnoliopsida; Alismatales; Araceae.
GUCGACGUACUGGGCAUCGGGGACGUAGGUUAUCCCCGUGGCAUUCUCUCGGUAGCCCGACCCAUCGGGGAGGCCGCAGUCAAUGCUGAUGAAUCCUGCGUAAUCCAUUAAGUUGCACAUCGGGUUGCAAGAAGAGAACUAGAGGGCCUGCUUACCUGGCUGUGCUCCAACCGGCGCGUGCUCGAGUCUCAGGAGGAAGAAGAAGAAGAAGAAGACGAGGAAGGAGGAGCAUGGAAGGCCUCGACUUGGCGGAGAGUGCAUCGCUCUCGCAGACUCCGGUGACGGCAGGCUGCGGCUGGGCUGGCAAUUGAAGGAUGGAAUGGACGAGGGUUCAGCAUUUAUGGAUGUGACAAAUCAUUGUCAACGCUGUACUGGUAAGUCGGCCCCCCCAACGCCGCGGCAGGAAAUGUUGACCGGCAGAAUCUGAACACGGCGAGCCUAUUCUUGUUUCUUCUGAUCAUAUUCCAGGCUGUGUAGGGUUCGGUGGGCCUCCGAUUCAUUGAUCGGCGGCCGGCGAUGUGCCGUGCGCGGUCAGUUCGAGGGGGGAAUAGUUGGUGGAACAUUUCCCACGCCGGAAUGUUUCCUCAUCCGCCUUUUCCACGCCAUCGUCAACCGUUGACUUUGGGGACAUCCUUAAUUCGAAAAAAAAAAAUGAACAAUGGCGAUUGCUUUGCUCACGCGAUGGCGCGGGGUCGAAGGGAUACCGUAAUGGAUCCUGGUUGACCUGUUCAUCCGGGAGACAGCAAGUCGACGCCUUUCAUGAAGAGUUGCAUCUAUCCGUCUAGAAAGCUGCAUGGACAGCAAGUCGCCGCUUUAGAAGAGGUGAUUACAGGAAUAUCUUCUUACUUUCGUUUGGAGUUUCCUCUUUUUUUUUUCUCAAGUCUACACUAAAGUCCCCAUAAAACCUUCUGAAUUAUCUGUGCCCCUUCAAAUUUUAGUUACACUUGAUGCCAUUUCUUAUUUUUAGUUCAUCUCGUCUACCGAAUUAAUGUAGCGUGCGAACUUAUGGGACAUGGAUUAAAUUAACUUCCGAAAGUUUGUUUCUCUCUCUCUCUCCCUCUCUAAUGACCGCAUAGAAAGGGCCACACCUACUCAGACCAGCUUUUGGGUUGUUGAUGAGCUGUUUCACAGAGAGGCGUCCAGUCUUCGGUGGGCCCUGGGAGGGGUGUACAUGGCCCCCCCCGUUGAUCCCUGAUGGGGGCUUCUUGGUUCAUAGUUCGGGCCCGGUCGGAGCAGGUUUGGCCCUAUGGGCUUCGCGAGCCUGGAGGGCCAACCCCUUAGGAAACGCGAGCUCUGUGCCCUUCCCGGAGUGGUUGGACAAGCCGGGAAGGGUAUCUCAGAGGCUAUCGUGCUGCUUGCAUAAACCUUAGCAGAGGUACGUCUUCGCCGUCGUCGAGCAGACCAGAUCGCCCUCAUCCAUGAGAAACAAUGCGCCUCGUUAGAAAAGCUAAUCAUGCCAUCCUCCUCGUCAGAACUUAGAAUACCCAGAAGAAUUGCGAUUUUCAUGUCCUUUUUUUUUUUGGGGACAAAUAUGCGGGUGAAUGGCAGGUGGAAUAUCAGCUGGGCAACGGUAAUCUGUCAGCAAAUGACUCCGCCGUGAAGCUUAUAAACAAUGACUCGGAAGGCUACGGUGGGGCGCCCUACACCGGCAUGACCUCUGAAACUUCCCUUCUACCGUAUUUUGAACUGAUCCACAUCUAUAUGUCUAGGAUAUAUUUGAAUACCUCCUACGAGAGACGUAUUAUACCAUGAUCAUUGGGUCAUCGCGAAGCAAUUGCACAAGGAUAACCUGGUUUAACGCUUUUUAGUGGCGACGGAAUCGCGUUCUUCAAUUCAUAAAGUUAACCUAGAUGGAGCCGUAGAUCAAUGGAGUCCCGGAAACCGAGGGAGGGAUUCCGUUAAUUUUCUUAACUAGUAUAUGGUUGCAGUUUACAAUGGAAAUGAUCAGCGUACCGGGUUAGUCAUACGCUUUCCUCAUGUUUCACUUGAGCUAUUUGUUCCCAAUUCAUUAUGCUUCGUUACGGGUUAGUCAUUACGCUAUUUGUGGACAUUGAUGACAAGAAUAUUCAUCAUGCUAAUUUUAAGAAAAUUUGACUAACGUUUUUUAUAUGGUGUGUUAUUAUCAUAUCAUGAGAGAUUAUUCCCACUUCUAUGGUGUUCCACACUGUAGUAAUUUUUCUAUACAUCAUGCUUUGUAGUCAUAAAGAUGAAAUAUUAAAAUAUUAAAAUCUGUCUAGUGAGAGCAGGAAACCCUUCGAUCAAAUUCAUGUUCACACAAAGAAAAGUGUCUCCUUAUUCCCCAUAAUAUGAUUCACAUCAUGAUGAGAACUAGUAGAACCAGUGAUGUGGUUAUGGUGAUGGGAACAUGAUUCUCUUGUCUGUUUGAAAAAGAUGAACUUGGGCUUGGGGCACUUGGGCUUGGGGCAUUCGAACUUGGGCUUGGUGAAUUGGACCUUGGCUGAAUGGAGCACAUCUCUUCAAGCCGUUUGAAACUAAGUUUUGAAAGAUGGUCAACAAAAAUAAUUUUUUGGUCAAUACAAAUAGGAAAUCGCAAGAUGAAAAAUCUGCAGCCUAUCAUAGCAUUAUAGCCUGUGAUCUCAUGGUAAGAGAGGCAUACAGCAACUUAUAUUCAUGAAGUAAUUUAUCAAAAUAGAUAUGGAAGUUUUUACGUUAUUAUUCAAAUGAAAAGUGACGAUCGGAGACAUUUAUUUGAAUUAAUACGCGGACGAACCUUACAGAAAGACGCCCGUUCAGUACUUUUGUGCAAAAGUAUUCAUACGGUAGAGUGAUGUUAUUGCCAGCCAAAUUCCUGAUAGAAAGGUUGAGCGGCAUCAUUUUAUUACUGAUAUAUUAAAUUAGUAUGAACUGAGGAAGCCAAAAUUUUGAGUCUCACAUCAACUCAAGAGCAGGUAACUCUGUCAAAAAGUCUGGAAACAUGCCGGAAAGACUGUUGUUUGACAAAUCCCUAAAACAAAAGAACAAAAAUAUUAACCUUAAAAGUGUUCCUUCGAGUUAAAGGCUUCCAAAGCUCCAUAAGUAGUGCUUACAAGGUUGGUAAGGCAGUGAGGUUCGCAAUUGACCCCGUAAUUCCACCAACGAGUCCACUCGACGAUAAGUUCCUGCAUCACUCAAAGAAACCCAACUCAGAUAAAUAAAUAAUUGGUGAGUGAUAUUUGGAUCUGGUUUCGUAUUGAAUGGGGUGAGCCCAAUUACAAUGAGAUGAUUCUUGGGGUUUCGGAUCCGUUAUAGUAGUCGCAGCGCAACCCAUCCCACGUAUAGUUCUUGGGGACGCAUGGGUCCCCCUGCCAAUUUCUCGUCAGAUUGCAAGCUGCUCUGAUGCCUUGGAUGGCGCGAACUGGGCAGAAGAUCGGGGUAACUAAAUCGCUGAGAUUUAAACAAAUAGAAUCGCAACACUUUCUCCCAUGUCGAAUAACCCAGACAAAAAUAAGGUUGGCGAUGUCGGGGGGUCCGGGCGAAAUUUUUGGGCGGAAUCUUAAGAAGAUGGGAGAAUAUCGAUGGUUUCACCGUUGGGCCGCUCUUUUUUUUCAAAGUCAGUCGGGGAUAGUAGUCAUUUUUUUUCCAAAAGUUAAAUCGAGGUGUCAGCGAGACGAAGUAGUUAAUAGAGCGAACGACAUUAAAAGGGGAGGUCAAUCGGGUCUCACCAUCGCCAAGGUCAGUCGGCAGUUCGUCGACUUUCCUCACCAGAAAGCUCUCCAUGGCGUUAAUCAUCGGAGGCAGCGUCGAUGCGUUCGAAGGGAACAGGGAGAUGUUGUAUAUCCCCGUCUGUCCAACUGGGGCGUCGGUGACCGUUACGUGAUCCGCCUCCAGGAACGGAGCGCUGUAAUUCCAUAGAAACGCCCCAGUGCUGCCCUCCCCUAGGAUGUCCAUGAUCCUCGUCUGGUUGGGGCGGCUCAAAUUCUGGAGCUCGGCGAAGUGCAAGACGGCGUAGACUAUGUCGUCCGGAUCUCCGACGGCCGCCCGGAGGAUCAACCAGUAGCUGACGUUUGGAAAAAAGAUGGCCGUCCUCAUGACCAGUGAGGGUACCUGGAAGGGGUCAGCUGGAGUCGCCGCCACAGGGCUGGUGGUGUUAAUGACAGGAAAACUCCCCGUAAGGCCAAACCAGAAGCGGUCGUAGGGGUCCUGCGGGUACCUACAGGCGAGUUGACUUUUCUACUCAGAUUCAUGCUGAUGAUGAAUCAUUCAGAGAAGGAAGACCCUACUUAGUAUCUAAUUUACUGCAUAACGUAGACAUCAAGGAAGGGGGGGGGGGUUGGCCAAGUACGCGUUUUCCAUGCGGAUGUCUUUCACCUUAAUAGGGCCUUUGUUCCGAAGUUGGAGCGUCGUUGCAGAUGCAAACUCUGAGACGCGUUGGCGAGGGGGUAUAAGGAGUUUGGAAGCCGCCUUACUUCGAUCAUCGAUAUCAGGGGUGUCCCUUUGUUGGUGUUCACCAGGCAGACCCAUAUGGAGUCCCCCUGGGCCGCCGCGAUGACCUCGGAGAAAACGGCGAUGGUGGACGGCAAUUGGAUGGUGAGCCUGGCGUUGACCCCGAUGUGGAGCUCGAGCUCGGGGGGAUUUGCAGUCCGUCGUAGUCGCCGUAGAAGAACCCGGUUCGCACCAGGUACUUGUCCCCGGGCUGCACCGGCCGGAUGUUGUAGCAGUUCCGAACCCCCUGUGGGAAGAAGCGGAGGGUCCGAUACGGCGUGGAGAUCCCCUCCCCUGCAACGGUCUUCGUCUCCCCCGCGUCGACGUACUGGGCAUCUGGGACGUAGGCUAUCCCGGUGGCGUUGUCUCGGUAGCCCGGCCCAUCAGGCAGGCCGCAGUCCACGCUGAUGAAUCCUGCGCGCAUGCGUCCCACAAAGUCUCGGAUUAUACGCUGCAGUCGGAUCUUUGAAGGAUAAAUAGGGGGCAUACCUGGCUGGGCUCCAACCGGAGCGUCCUCGAGUCCCAGGAAGAGGAAGACGAUGUAGAAGAAGGAGCGUGAGAGGCCUCGACUUGGCGGAGAGUUGAUCGCUCUCAUCGCUCUCACCGCCUCCGGCGGCGGCAGGUCUGCGGAUGGGCUGGCGAUCGACGGACGGAAUGGAGGAACACGCGGGGGAAUGGAGGACGAGGAAUUCGUCAUUUAUGGAUGUUGCCAAGUCAAUGUCAACGCUGUACGGACAAGCCGUGUCAACCGUUCACUAGGUGGACCCCCCCUUAAUUCAAUGAAAAAAAUGAAUGCGUGGGUCAUUACAUAAUAGCUGGAUUGAGAUUGUUUUCAGCUCACAAGGCGGCGUGUGCUCGAGGGAGUAGUCGAUCUAAGUUGACUUGUUCAUCCGGGAUACAGAAAGUCAACGCGUUCUGGAUGAAAAAGUCGGAUCCAAUGCGUUCAAGGAAAUGAUAUGGAUAGACUGACGACGAAGACCGGUUCUCGCCGCUUUAGAAGCACAGGUUAUAACAAAUAAGUUCCUACAAUCAUCAUCAUCUCUCAUGAGAGUACGAUAUUUCUCAUUUUUUAGGCCGGCUUUUCUGAUUGUAUGUCGAAUGUACUCUGUAACUAUAUGGAACAUGGAUUGAAUCACCUUCAUAAUGACUGCGCACAGCCGGCCACACCGACAUCACGCCAGCUUUUGGGCUGUGCGUGGCCUGCCGUCCUGUCUUUGGUGGGCUGGGGGUGUGUACUUGGGCCGGCCCAUUUAACCCAGAAUUGUAAGGAUGCCUCGUGACAGCGUGUUUAUUCCAGGUGGCAGAGACGAGUCACGAGGGGGCUUCUUGGUCCGUAGCCCGGGCCCGAACCGGGCCGGAGUGGCCCGAUGGGGAUUGGCGGGCCGAGGGAGCCCGAAGCUUCCGGGGCUGUUUUCCCAGACGCGGGGAAGGGUUUCUCAGAAGCUCUCGUGCUGCUUGCCAAAAACCCUAGCCGAGGCGGGGGCGGAGGGGGAGCCUGCGACCGCAGCUCCGUCUUCGUCCGCGGCUGGUUAUCCGCGCCAGAAACUCUCUUCGGAUGGUGGAUGCGCGGGUGCACGAGGCCCUCCUCCUCCUCUCUCUGUAUUCCUUUCCUUGACCACGCGCCUCUUCUUUGUUCGCUUCUCCACCUGCGUUCUCCUUCGUCACGGUCUAAUGAGCCGUUAAGCUGUGGGAGAUUUUACCUCUCCGGACGCUGGAACGACUUCUUUCAAUUAAUUAUCUCGCAUUUUGUUGGAAAACUUUCUUCAACGCAGCUCCUUAGUCGUCCGGAAAUCUGCGGCUCGUUCUAACUGGCUGCUGUUCAUUGCAGGCUGCAUCAGCUUCUGUUGAAUCAAUUUCUUUCGGCGCCUUCUUCGCCGUGGAGAACACUAGGAAGAUGAGUGUGAAAUAGGACUACAAGAUCGGACCUUCUUGGUGUCAAUGGCAGACCAGUGGCAGAUGGACUCUACGACCCUGCACUGGGUCCAGUAUAUGGAUCUGAUCUGUGGGCGUUGACUUUCGUCUUUCUGUUAUUUGCAGUGUAUCAUCAAGGCACUUUCCAGUGCAUGCAGUCAGUGGGGCUGAUGCCCAAAUGGUUUGGACCAUUUCUGUGUGUGAUGAACCUGCUACAGACGCACAAGGACUGGCUACGCAUUAGAUAUUGUAUGGGCCCUUUGUGAUUGGGUCGGAUGUCAAGAGAAGACACUUACUCCACUCCAUAACCUAUCGAUUGAAUGGGUUAUAGACUACUGGGUUGAUCGGCGCCGGCCGCUGGACAAGAGAACAACAUUAAGCCAACUAUUGGUGUUAAGGAACUGUUCGGAUAACCAUGGCUUAUCAAGGAAGUAGACUAAGUAAGGUUUCUCUUAUUAGCAAAGGCUUUCGAUGAUCUAGGAAACAUCACAACUUCUCAGAUUGAUUAAUGUGGCUGGGAAUGCUUCUUCGACGUUCAUAAUCGAAGCCCACCUUCUAAUAGUCUUUCUAGCUUACGCUGUGGAUCAAACAUCAUGUAUCAAAGCGUCCUCAUGCAAGCCUCACGCUCAUAACCUCUAAAUUCUUACAGAACAAAUAGGCCUUGGUUUUUUACAGACAAUUUCAUUUUUAACUAUGCUCACACGCAGAAGACGAUUGUCUAAUGGUUGGUAACUUAACCUAAGUUUGAGCUCGUCCUUCUAACUCUUGAGAUGUGGCUCGAGAAGGACAACUUCAAGAUUAAAGCUCUAAUAGGGGAUGCUUCUAGUUUCGCAUAUACCGAUUACAUUAUUUUUGGAUUUAAGUUAAUAUGAUGCAAAUGUUGUCCAAACAUUUGGCAGCAUAUAUCCCGUGCAUCAGACCUAAAUGUGAUGCUUCCAGUAAAUGGAAAACCUUGAACACGUUCCGAAUCUUCCAACGUUUGAUGCUUAAAUUAGUCAUUUCUUUAGGGAUGGAGUACGCUCGCAGAAGUUCUUUCACUAUGAUACACUCUUUUCCAGAUGUUUGGAAUAUUAAUUCAUUUAGUCGGCUGUGAAGAUUGUUGACAAGAAGAAGCAGCGUGCUCAUUUUUCAGAAUAUUUGACCCAACUUGUCUGUAUGGCGUGUAAUUACUGAAUCAUGCAAGAUUGUCCACACUUCUGUGUUUUCCCACCGUGUAGCAUUUUUCAUAUACAUCAUAUUAUGCAGUACACAUCAGGUAGAGAAUGUAAUAACUAAGAGAACCACACACAAAUGCCAAAAUAUGUCUCAUGAAAAGCAAGAAACACUUGGAUGAAAUUUAUCUUGACAAUAAGAAAGGUCUCACCUUAUUCCCCUUAAAAUGAUUCACAACAAGAUGACAACUAGCAAAAUUAGUGAUGUUGUUAUGUUGAUGGGAGCGAUAUACUUUUGCUUGUUCGAGAACGAUGAACUUGUCCUUGGUGAAUUGGAACUUGGGCUUGGUGAAUUGGAACUUGGUUGAAUGGAGCACAGCUCUUCAAGCCCUUCAAUCCUAAAUUUUUGAAAAAUAGUCAACAAAAAUAGUUUUUUGUUCACAACAAAUAGGAAAUCACAAGAUCGAAAAUCUGCAGCUGAUCAUAACAUAAUAGCCUCUGAUCUCAAGGUGUGAGAGACAUGCAGCUAUGUCUAUUCGUGAAGUAUUUUUCCAAUAUAGAGAUAAGUGAUGGUUUCCGUUAUUGUUAAAAUUGAAAGUAAUGACUGGACCCAUUCAUUUUAAAUAAUCAGGAUGAACCUUAAAGAAAGACGCCCGUCUGAUACUUUUGCGCAGAGGUCUUCAAAUGGUAAAAUGAUGUUAUUUCCGACCAAAUUCCUGAAAGAAAAGAUGAAAGACACCAUUUCAUCAUCGAGACAUUUGAAUGAUGUCAACUAAGGAAGCCAAGAGCUUGAAACUUACAGCAAUUUAAGAGCAGGUAACUUUGUCAAGAAGUCAGGAAACGUGCCCGAAAGGUUGUUAUUUGACAAAUCCCUAUAAAAAAUGACAAAAGAUAUAAAUCUCCUUAAAAGUGUCCAUUCCAGCUGAGGCUUCCGAAACCAUAAAAGGUUCUUACAGGCUUGUUAAGGCAGUGAGGUUCGCAAUUGACCCCGUAAUUCCACCAACGAGUCCACUCGACGAUAAGUUCCUGCGUCAUUUAAAUAAAGACAACUCAGAUAAAUAAAUAGUUGGUAAGUGAUAUUCGAUUCUGGUUUCCGAUUGAAUGGGGUGAACCCACUUACAAAGAGAUGAUUCUUGGGGAUUCGAAUCCGUCAUAGUAGUUGCAGCGCAACCCAUCCCACGUAUAGUUCUUGGGGACACAUGGGUCCCCCUGCCAAUUUCUUGUCAGAUUGUACACUGCCCUAAUGUCUUGGAUGGCACGCACUGAACAGAAGAACGCAGUAAACAAGUAGCCGAAAUAUGAACCAAUAAAACCGCAACAGUUUCUUCCAUGUCCAAUUACCUGCUCAAAAAAAUCGGCGAUGUCGGGGUGUCUAGGGAAAAGUUUUUGCUUAAUUCUUUAAAAUAAGAAAGGGGAAAAUCGAUGGUUUUACAGUUGGGCCGCUAGUCCUUUUGUAAACUCAGUUCGGGAUAACGGCUACUUUUUUUUCAAAAGUCAAAGCAGGGGGCUAACGGAACAGACUAAUUAAUAGAGUGACGAAAUUAUAAAAACGGAGGUCAAUCGGGUCUCACCAUCGCGGAUGUCAGUCGGAAGUUCGUCGACAUUCCUCACCAGAAAGCUCUCCAUGGCGUUGAUCAUCGGAGGCAGCGUCGAUGUGUUCGAAGGGAUCAGGGAGAUGUUGUAUAUUCCCGUCUGUCCAACUGCGGCGUUGGUGACCGUUGCGUGAUCCGCCUCCAGGAACGGAGGACUGUAAUUCAAGAGAAACCUUGCAUCGUCACCCUUCGCGACGAUGUUCAUGAUUCUCGUCUGGUUGGUGCCGGUCAAAUUCUGGAGCUCGGCGAAGUGCAAGACGGCGUGAACUCUGUCGUCUGGAUCUCCGACCGCCGCCGUGAUUCGCAACCCAACGCUGACGUUUCCAGACGAGACGGCCGUCCCCAGCACUAAUGACGGUACCUGGAAGCGGUCAGUUGGAUCCGCCUCUACAGGUCUGGUGGUGUUAAUCACAAAACUCCCCGCCAAGCCUUGCCAGAUGCGGUCGUAUGGGUCUUCUGGGUACCUACAAGCGAGUUGACUUCUGUUCUCAGAUUCAUGCUGAUGACCGAUCGUUCAUGGACGGAAACCCCUACUUAGUCUCUAAUUUACUGCAUAACGAAGACAGAAAGGAAGGGGGGGUUGGCCAAGUACGGGUUUUCCAUGCGGAUGUCUUUCACCUUAAUAGGGCCUCUGUUCCGAAGUUCAAGCGCCGUUGGAGAUACAAGCUCUGAGACGCAUUGGCGGAGGGGUAUAAGGAGCUCGGGAGCCGCCUUACUUCGAUCGUCGAUAUCAGGGGCGUCCCUUUGUUCGUGUUGAUUAGGCAUACCCAUAUGGUGUCCCCCUGGGCCGCCGCGAUGACCUCGGAGAGACGAGCGCUGUUGGACGACAAUCGGAUGGUUAGCCUGGCGUUGACCCCGAUGUGCAGCUCGAACUCCGGGGGGCUUUGCAGGCCGUCGUAGUCGCCGUAGAAGAACCCGGCUCGCACCAGGUACUUGUCCCCAGGCUGCACCUGCCGGAGGUUGUAGCAGUUCCGAACCCCCUCCGGGAAGACGCGGAGGGUCCGAUACGGCGUGGGGAUCCCCAGCCCUGCAACGGUCUUCGUCUCCCCCGCGUCGACGUACUGGGCAUCUGGGAGGUAGGUUAUCCCGGUGGCGUUGUCUUGGUAGCCCGGCCCUUCAGGCAGGCCGCAGUCAACGCUGAGGAAUCCUGCGUGCAUGCGUCCCACAAAGCCACGGAUUAUACGCUGCAAUCGGAUCUUUGAAGGAAAAACAGGGGGCUUACCUGGCUGGGCUCCAACCAGAGCGUCCUCGAGUCCAAGGAAGAGGAAGACGAUGAAGAAGAAGGAGCGUGUGAGGCCUCGACGUGGCGGAGAGUUCAUCGCUUUCAUCGGUCUCACCGCCUCCGGCGACGGCAGGCUGCGGCUGAGCUGUGGAUUGACGGAGGGGAUGGAGGGCGAGGAGUUCGCUCUUUAUGGAUGUUCCCGAGUCAAUGUGAACGUCGGGGGUUAGCUAGUGUUGACCGGCGAGCUGUGGCCGUCGCGAGCCUGUUUCGCUUUUCUUCGUUUGUUCUGAUUAUUUUCCAAUCUGCGCAGCCGAGUCCUGGGCCUCUUCUUCCUUGCGCAGGUUGUGCUUCGGCUUGGUCAACCCGACGCACCGUAGUAGUUAGUUUUGAUAUUUCAACACGACGUAAAGUUUCCGCCGACGCUCCAUUUCCGCGAAGCCGUCAACCGCUCACUUUCUGGGCCCCCUUAUUUAUCAAAAAAAAAAGAACAGUGGGGGUUAUUCCAUAAUAUCGGGAUUUCGAUUGCUCUUCGCCCAUGUUGACUUGUGCAUCCCAGAGACAGAAAGUCAACGCCCAGACGAAAAACUUGCAUCCAUCCACUCUGGGAAGUCAUACGGAUGGAUAGACACUGCGGUUCCGGGCGCUUUAGCAGCAUAUGUUAUAAGCAGAUCUUGCCCAAUUUUUUUUAAUUUUCUGUGUACGUGCGUUUGAAAGAUGCAUUUAAAUUAUCUUUGCCCCCUUCAAUUUUUUGUUAUAUUUUGAAGGCCCUUGGAAGGAUGCUAUUUCCUUUUUUAAAAACUCGCCUUGUCUGAUUAUCUGUUGAAUGUACCGUACAACUGCGUACAGCCGGCUACUCGUACUCACGCGACCUUUUGGGCCGCCUAUGGGCCUUCUUUUUAUAAAAGAGGCGUCCUGUGUCUGAUGGGCCCUGGGCGCGUGAACUUGGGCCGGCCCAUUGUCACUGGAAAAGGGCAGGCGCCUCACAUCCACGUGGCAUAUAUGAGAGGGGGCCUCUUGGUCUAUAGUUCGGGCCCGGGCCUGGGCCGGACCGAAGUGGCCCGAUGGGUGCUGGCAGCCCGGGGAGCCUGCCCGUGUGACUAAGAGCUUCGGAGGUUGAUUGCAUACAUGGGGAAGGUUUUUUCACAAGCUCUCGUGCUGCUUGGCCACGGAGACAGCCUGCGAGAGCAGCUCCGUCUACAUCUGCGUCUGGUGAUGUGGGCCAGAAACUCUCCUACGAUGGCGGCUGAACGAGGUCCUCCUCUUCCUUUGUUGAAUCGAUUUCUUUCGGAACCUUCUUAACCGAGAAGAACACUAGGAAGAUGAGUGCGAAAAAGGACUACAAAAGCAGAUCUUGAUGUCAAUGACAGACCAGUGGUAGGUGCACUGUGUCCAGAAUAUGGAUUUCACUUGUGAGCGUUGACUUUUCUAUUUCUGUUCUUUGCAGUGUAUGAUCACCGCAAUUUCCAUUACAUGCAAUCAGUGGGGCUGGUGCCUAGUUGGGCAGACGCUAAAUUGAGAUCGAGUCCAUUUGACUGCGUCUUGGGUCAGAGCUCACUUGAUUUGUGCAGAAUCUUUGGUAGAGUCCGAUUGACUGGGCAUGAGUUAGAAUCUCCUCCACAUAUUCUUGUUCUGUUCUUUUUAUUCUUACUUUAUUGGAAUGCAUCCACAUAACUUUACUGGUACUAUUAUAUAGGCCCAUUGCCAUUGGGAUGGACCUUCUCUUUGAGUGAUGAACCAGCUAGAUGCAUCCAAGGACUGGCUACGCAUUAGAUAUUGAACAAGCCCAUUUUGUGACUUGGUUGAAUGUCAAGGGAAGAUGCCCACUCGAUUGCACAACCUCAUCAAUUGAAUAGGUUAUAGAUUAUUGGGCUUGAUCGAUGCCAGCCACUAGACAUGAGAACAACAUUAAGCCGACUAUUGUUGUCAAGGAACUAUUUUGAUAAUCAUGACUAAUCAAGGAACUAGAUUAAGGUUGGUUUCUUAUAUUCACAAAGGCUUUCAAUAAUUUAGGAAACAUCAUAACUUCUCAUAUUGAUUAGUGUGGUUGGGAAUGGCUCUUUGACAUUCAUAAUUGUGUCCAUACUAUGCAUCUUUUGCCAAAUGACUAUAGAGGACUUCCCUCAUGUUUGCUUUAUAUUCAUAGAGAGCUUCUUCUGAACCCACCUUCUUAUAAUCUUACUGGCUUGCAUUAUUAAUCUAAGUGUUAAUAAUAAGUAGCCUACAAGUCAAUCACACUAUACACAUACCAUUCAUUUUAUUAUAAAUUUCAUAUUAAUUAAUAUACAUAUUUGAUGUUUAUACAUAAAGUUCAAAGAUAUGUACGAUAGUAAACAAAUUAUGGUGAGAUCAAUUCUAGUGAUUAUAAGAUAUAUCUUAAAUGUUUAUAUUCAUAAGAUAUUAGAGAAGGACAUUAGAUAUAUGCAUAUAAUAGUAAUACUUGCUCUUACUCAUAUGAUAAGGAUAAUUGAUCUUGUGAUCAUUUGUGUGGAAACACUAAAGAGGGGUAUUGAGUGUUUUUUAAAGAAAUCAUUCAUUAAAUUGAUCUAUAUGAAUCCCUACAUAGUAUUGUACUUAACUAUCAAUCAAGUUGAUUCAUGCCACAAUUAUAUAAAUGAUCCUUAGACUUGAGAUGCCAAAGACAUUUUAUAGAUGGAUUAUUGUGUUUUAACUUUAACCUACAAGUAUAUGAUCAUGAGACUUAAAACCAUCAAAACUUAAUCACAAUAAAAUAUCUACGAAAGUGGUUGUGUGGUCAAGAUCAGAUUAUCUGCCCUUAGUACUAAGAGGAGACAAACUCUAAAAAUAGUGUAAUUAAGGUCUUAUUUAAGACAAAGGGAAAUAUCACAAAAAAAAGUUUUUUGAUGAUUUCUAAUCACACUAGUUUCAAUUGGGCUGACUAAUUAGGAUUUUAUAAUUGACCAUGCCCUAAGUCAUUCGAGGGGUGACAUGCAGAUGAUAGAUUAUAUAUAUAUAGUAACUCCUAACUGACAAGUUUCAAGAGAGAGGACGAUGCAUGGGAGAGAGAGAGAGAGGAUGAUGCCUAGGAGAGAGAGAGAGAAAGGGUGAUGUGAGAGAGAGAGUGGGUGGCUGGCUAGGAGAGAGAAAGCGGGGAAAGGCACGCGAGAGAGAGAUAGCCGUGGGAAAGAGAGAAAGAGAGGGAGAGACACAAGAGAGAGGAAGAUGCAUGAGGAAGAAAAAGGAAGAGAGAGAACAUGUAAGGGAGAGGAACACGUGCGAGUAAGAAAGAGGAAGAGAAAGAACACACAAGGGAGAAAUGCACGAGGAAGAAAGAGGAAAGAGAGAGAAUGCACAAGGGAGAAACGCAUGAGGAAGAAAGAGAAAAAGAGAGAAGAUAGAUGAGACCAGGUCUCAACAAAUUUUUCCCAAAUGACUCUCUGUAAACAUGUUCUUGUGCCCCUUUUAUAGGCACUAAUGUGACAGUUAAUAGAAAGGGGCGUGAAUAAAAAGAGAGGAAGGAGGUAGUUAUAGGCGCCCCCUUUGGUACUAAGUGACACCCCUUCAAAGGUUGUCAUGGGAUGGUUCCCCUAUUGGUGCCAGGUGGCAUAUGUCUUCUAGCAUGUACUCCAUGGCUUCUUCUCCUUCAGGCUUUUCUUCCUCCUCUUUGACUGAUUGUCCCCACCAGAUAUACCUCAAUAUUGUUUUUCAUGAAAUAAAUGUUUUCUUGCAACUUCUCUUCCUUUUCUGAAGAGCUUUCAUCAUCACUCCCCAUUGCCACUAUUACUCUUUUCUAUGUUGUCCUUUGUUGUAGACUUGGGUAGUGAACCUUCAUGUGUCCUAUUUGUCUACAUUUAAAACAUUUCAUAUCUCUUUUUAUGUUAUCAAAACCAGUGUUAGAGUUUUGAAUCUUUUGCGCAUGAUCUUGCUCCUGGAUCUUAUUAAUAUUCUGCUUAUCUUCUUAGAUAGCUUUAUUUACUACAUAAGGAAGACAACAAGGAGGUGGGAGGAGGAGGUUGGCCAAGUAUGCAUUUUUCAUGCGGAUGCCUUUCACCUAAGUAGGGCCUCUAUUUUAAAGUUAGAGCAUUCAUUGGAGGUGUAAACUUUGACACACAUUGGUAUGGGGGUAUGAGGAGCUCAUGAGCCACCUUACUUCGAUCGUCGAUAUUAGGGACUUCCCUUUGUUUGUUGAUUAGGCAUACCCAUAUGAUGUUCCCUUGGGCUGCCACGAUGACCUUGGGGAGACGAGCACUAUCAAACAACAAUCUGAUGGUGAGCUUGACAUUGACCCCGAUGUGCAGCUCAAACUCCAAGGGGCUUUGCAGGCCAUCGUACUCGCCGUAGAAGAACCCAGCUUGCACCAAGUACUUGUCCCUAGGCUGCACCAGCCAAAGGUUGUAGUAGUUCUGGGCUCCCUCUAGGAAAUCAUGGAGGGUCUAAUAUCAUCUGGGAAGGCCUCUACUGCAAUGGUCUUCAUCUCUCCCAAAUCUAUGUACUGAGAAUCUGGGACCAAAGUACACUGAUCGUGAUUGUUUGAUCAUUGAAUUAACGAUCAUGAUCAACCGAUUGAUGAUCACAAUCAAAGAAAAGGGUCAUGAUCACCUACAAUUGACCUAUCCAUUGGAUGAUUAAUUUCCAUCAUCUGACGGUUAAGAUUCAACAUCAAAGAGAAAGAUUAAAUCUCUCUUUCUCUAUCUCGACUCCUGGUCCUACUCCUAUUGUUUGCCACCUCUCUCUUUUCCCGUCAAAGACUGACUUUGCUGCCGCCAACUUUACCACUACUGCCUCUCUUUUCUUCCACUCUUUGAGACCAACUUCAUCGUCACUAGCUUCACUAUUGCUGCUAGGUCAAUUGCCACCACCUCCAUUCUCUCUCUUUAUCUUUCUCUUUCCUCUCUCUCUCUCUCUAUCUCUAUUUCUCCCACCCCCCCACCACCCUAUUCUCUCUCCUACUAAUUAAGUAGGGUCUUCUACCCUAAACCCUAUUANNNNNNNNNNNNNNNNNNNNNNNNNNNNNNNNNNNNNNNNNNNNNNNNNNNNNNNNNNNNNNNNNNNNNNNNNNNNNNNNNNNNNNNNNNNNNNNNNNNNNNNNNNNNNNNNNNNNNNNNNNNNNNNNNNNNNNNNNNNNNNNNNNNNNNNNNNNNNNNNNNNNNNNNNNNNNNNNNNNNNNNNNNNNNNNNNCUUCUCUUCCUCUCUCUCUCUCUCUAUCUCUAUUUCUCACCCCCCCACCACCCAUUCUCUCUCCUCAAUUAAUAGGGCUUCUCCUAAACCCUAUAUUUGCCAUUGCCUUUCUCUCUCCUUCUACUCUCGGAGACUGACUCUAUUGCUGCCAACUUCACUAUUGGUAGUAAAAAAAGUGUAUAUUUCUUUUUGUUGUAUCUUAAGAUGCUUCAUUGGACUAAUUGAUAAACUAAUUUCAUUUAAUGUCACUAUCCAUAGAUUUAUGUCUUAAAAGAUAAGGAUUAUAACUAAUAUAUGUAUAUAUAUUAAAAUCUUAGGAAGCUUAAUUAUACUAAUCUUAAUGAAGUUAUUACGUCUAAUACACAUCUUUAUAAAUUUAGGCUUAUUUAUAUGUAAUAUAUAUAAUAUACAUAGCAUAUACAUAUUAUAUAAAUAUUAUGCUUAUGUAUGUAUAGUAGUAUACAUACCUAUAUAUAAUUAUAUUUAAUAUUUAUGUAUAUAUUUAAUAUACAUAUUGUAUACAUGCUAAUACAUGAAACUUUGGUCUAAUAUAUGAAUAUAUAUUAUGCCAACAUAUAUAUAGUAGUAUAUAAAUUUAUGUGUAAUAUUUUUAUGUACAUUUCAUAUAUGUAUCAUAUACAUAUUUAGGCCUAAUAUAUAAAUAUAUAUUACGUCUAUGUAUAUGUUGUAGUACAUAUUUUUAUAGAUAUUUAUAUAUAAUAUUUACAUAUAAUAUAUAUUUAUAUAUAAUAAUAUUAUAUGGUGAUCACCCAAUGAUGAUCAAUUGAAUUGUCAACAAUUGAUGAUCACGAUUAGCAAUUUUUGCUGAUUGGAUCGUUGAUCAUUCUAGAGCGGUGAUCGAUCAUGAUCGGCGAACUUUAUCUGAGACGUAGGUUAUCCCGGUUACGUUGUCUUGGUUGCCCGGCUCAGGAGGCAGGCCGCAGUCAACGCUGAUGAAUCCUGCGUGCAUGCGUCCCACAAAGCCUCGGAUUAUACGCUGCAAUCGGAUCUUUGAAGGAAAAAGAGGGGACAUGCCUGGCUGGGCUCCAACUAGAGCGUCCUCGAGUCUCAGGAAGAGGAAGACGAUGAAGGAGGAGGAGCGUGGGAGGCCUCGACUUGGCGGAGAGUUCAUCGCUCUCCUCGCUCUCACCGUCUCCGGCGACGGCAGGCUGCGGGGGAUGGAGGGCGAGGAGUUCGCCAUUGAUGGAAGUUGCCAAGUCAAUGUCAACGUCGGGGGCAGGUAGUGUUGACCGGCGAGCUAUGGACAUGGCGAGCCUGUUUCCUUUUCUAUGUUUGUGCUGAUCAUUUUCCAACCUGCGCAGCGAGUCUUGGGCCCUCUUUAUUCAUUGCGCAGGGCGUGCUUCGGCAUGGUCAUCCCGACCCGCAGGAGUGGUUGGUGGGAUACUUCAUCAAGACAGAAAGUCUCCGCCGACGCGCCAUUUCCGCGAACCAGUCAACAGCUCGCUUUGUGGGCUCCUUUACUCAUUAAAAAAAGGAAAAAUGAACAAUGGGGUGGGUCACUCUAUAAUAUCGGGAUUGCGAUUGCUCUUAGCCCACACGGUGGAGUGGGGUCCAGUAAAAGUUGACUUAAGCGUCUGGGAUAAGAGAAAGUCAAUGCCUUCAUGAAAGGCUUGCUUCUAUCUAUCUAUCAAACAGAACAGCAGUUCUGGGCGCUUUAGAAGCACUGGUCAUAAGAAUAAUUUUUUACUAUAAUUAGGAAAAUUUAUCUGUUGCGGUGUUUGAAAUAUGUAUUGAAACGAAACUCCCCAUAAAGCCUUCUGAAUUAUCUCUGCCCCCUUCAAUCUUUUUGUUCCAUUUUGAAGGUCCUUGGAAGUAUGCUAUUUCUUUCUUUUUUUUAUUAACCCUGCUCUCUGAGUAUUUCUUGCAUGUACCAUGUAACGUUAUGGGGCACGGAUUAGAUUACCUUCCUAAUGAGUGCGCGCAGCCGGCCACGCCUACUCACGACUGCUUUUGGGCCGUCUAUGGGCCGGCGUCCUGCCUUUAGUGGGCCCUCUGAGGAUCUGCAAUUGGGCCGGCCCAUUUUUACUGGAAAAGGGGUCGGCCUCGCGUCCACGCCGGGAAGGGGCUUCUCGGUAGCACUCGCGCUUAUUGCCUUAAACCCUACCCGAGGCAGAGGCAGAGGCGGGGCCUGCGACCGCAGCUCCGUCUUCGUCCGCGUCUGGUUUUCCGCAUCAGAAGCUGGCUUUGGGCGGCGGAUGCGCGGGAGGACGAGGUCCUCCUCCUCCUCCUCCUCUUCUGUCUGUGUAUUCCUUUUCCGGACCACGCGCCUCUUCUUUGUUCGCUUCUCCACCUGCGUCCUCCUCCGUCACGGUCUAAUAAGACGUUAAGAUGUUGGAGAGUUUAUUUCUCUGGACGCUGGAACGAUGUCUUUUGAUUAAUUAUUCUGCAUUUUGGUGGAAAACUUUCCUCAGCGCGGCUGCUUCGUCGUCGGGAAAUCUGCGGCUCGUUCUACAACGGCUGCUGUUCAUUGUAGGCUGGAUCAUCUUAUCUUGUUUCAAUUUCCUUCGGUUGGGAAGAUAAGCCUGAAAAGAUUUCAUUCUGUGCAGGAUGAUGGGCCCAUUUAUCCUCCCUUCUCUCUUCACCCGGAUGACGGGCCUCCUCGUUGGACUAAACACUUUCUGUAAGUUCGUCCCUAAAUCUAGAAGAAAUUGCAGCUUCAUGACUAUGCACCUAUCAUCAAGAAAAAUUAUAUUUCUCAUGAUGGUAACUUAGAAAAGUCAUUUCAGAGUAUGUUUUAGAGGAUUAAGUAAAUAUUUACAGAGAUUAAUGUGUAUACUUAACUAAAAACUCAUGCAAUGCAUUUAUAAUUCUGAUAUAGAUGCUAUUUCUAAAAAUAGUUGGCCUUAAUUGGCAUGUAAAGAUAUUGCAUCAACACCCAUCCAUCCCUUGUCUUGGGCUCAUUCUUGCUUUCAUCUGCUGGGCCUACAUAAGGCUUCGACCUCGCCCACAGAGAUUUUGAAGAAAGUAGAAAGUUUUGUGUUUGACGCUCUUCUAUGGAGAUGGUUGGAAGACCCCGUUGCCCUGAUUGGGUUUGGUCAAGAGUCUUGACCCCAUCGUCUCGAUAGAAUUGGCUGCGACGUCCCUGUUGCCCAGCAGGGUGGGUUGGUUGGUUGGUUGGUUGGGAGGACCCCGCCGCACCGUUGCCACCGUCACUUUCAUUGAUGGUGCUGCUAUCCCCAUCCACUGCCACCCUCGCCUCUACAUCUGCCAUCACCAUCACCGCUAUCACCGUUGCCUUCAUUGCCAUACUGCCUCAGAUCCGCACUCCAGUGCUGCCAUCGUCGUUGUCGUCCCUCCACAGCCUUUGCUGUCUGCCCCUUCACCGCCCCCACCGCCACCACCCCCAUCGUCCGCCGCUACUGUCUGCCACCAUCUCCAUUCUCUGCCCUCCGCUUGGCCUGCCGCUGCCCACUCUGCUCUUUUGAGAUGAGUUUCUCUCUUCUCAUCUUUCCGGUUAGGGUAAAAUCUCGCCGAUUCGGUCCAUUUAUCUACAUCCAAGCCAGCUCGAGCCCCUAGUUUGAGCCAACCCGUCGUUCCAGUCUGAACCCGUUCCAUGACGCCUGAUCUGCACAAGGCCGCCUUGCCGGAUCGGACCACCCUAGUCUGCGUCAGUCCACUCAGCCUAGUUCCGGCCACAGCCUAGUCAACAGUCAACGACCUGGUCAACGAUCAACUUCGGCAAUCAAAGUCUCAAGUGACUUCCUUCCACAGCCGAUGAUCCACGACCUUAUAUUUCUCUAAUCAUUUAUUAUGUUCUUCUCGUGACUGUCACAGAGUGAUCAUAAGAGAUAUUUUGGGCAGAGGCCCAGUUGAUUGGGCAUGCGGUAGAAUCUUCUGGACAUAUUUUUGUUUGAUUCGUUAUUAUUUAUUAGAACAAACCACAAAGUAAUACUAUUCUGUGGGCCCAUUGCUAGAGGUGUAGUAGGGCUGGCUAUGCAUCAUGCUACAUGGGCUCAUUUAUUUUCGAGUUGGAUCACAAGGGACUAGGCCUACUCAACUUCACAAAUUCAUCGAUUAAAUGGGUUAAUAUCAUUGGGCAUGAUGGGCAGCCACUAGACUCGAGAUCUACAUUAAGCCAACUAUUGUUGUCGAGCAAGAACCCAAAAUCACUUUUUCUUUAGCCCUAAGUAUGGAGGGGCACAAUCUUUAAACAGUGACCAGGAGAUGCCCCAAUAAUACAGUUGAUAGCACAAAAAUCAUGGCUAAUCAAGGAACUAGACUAAGGUUUCUCAUAUUCGAAAAGGCUUUCGAAAAUCUAGGAAACGUCACGGCUUCUCAAAUUUAUUAGGGUGCUUGGGAAGGCCUCUUCUUAUUGACCAUGCAUCUUUCACCCUACCGCUAUAUGGGACUCCUCUCCUCAUUCCAUUCAUAAAGGGCCUCCUUUGAGCCUGCCUUCUCAUAGUCUUGCCAGCAUACACUGUGCAUCAAACACCAUGCAUCAAAGCAUACUCAUUGAAGCCCCACACCCAGGACUUGUGAGGAGCUCUUAGAGAACAAAUGAGCCCUGGUUUUCACCCAACAUUUCCAUUCUGAACUACACCCACAUCCUAGUUAAUAUUUUGGAGGGUGACAUGAGAUCUCCAACUCACACCCAGAAGAGGACGGUCUAAUGUUUGGUAACUUAACUUUGAAGCUCACUAUGCUUACCCUUGGGAUGUGACUUGACGAGGACAACUUCAAGAUUAAGGUUCUAACAUGAAGAGAAGACAACAAAUUCAGCCACAACAUUCGUUCCCCCGGUCAAGCAUAUACUCCCCUCAUACUUCAUUUGAGCUAAUUUUUCCCAAUUCAUUAGGCUUGAUUUUUCCUCUUGGUUAGUUAGAGCUUCUGUAGCUUCCCCACCAUUAAGGGAUUCCCCUCCUCUUCAAUAGCCAGCACCUCUUACAUUACCCUAAUCUAGCUGUCGCUCCAUGUUUUUAUUUGGUUGAAUAAUUCAGAUAACAUAUAUGGGAUGCUUCUAACUUCGUGUAUAUUUAUAAUAUGCUUUAUUUUGAAUUUACAUUGAUAUGAUGCGAAUAUUGUAUAAGCAUUUGGCAGUAUCUCUUGCAUAUGGCGUGCAUCACGCCCUAAAAGUUAUGUUUCUAGUUAACCAGAAACCUUGAACGUGUUCUAAAUCCUCCAACAUUUUUUUAUGCUUAUAAUAAUCAUCCCUUUAACGAUGGAAUAUGCUCACAUAUGCUCUUUUACUAUGAUAUAUUCUUCUCUAUCUGUUUGGAAUAUUAAUUCAUUUAGUCGGGUGUGAAGAUUAUUGACAAGAAUAUGCAUCGUGCCCAUUAUAAGAAAAUUUGACUUAACUUAUUAGUUUGGUGUGCUAUUACCGUAUCAUGCAAGAUUGUCCCCACUUCAUGUUUUUUCCCAUGCUGAAAUAUUUUUCAUAUACAUCAGAUUAUGCAGUAUAAAUAACAUACAGAGGAUAAUAGCUUAGUGAAUCACACACAAAUGCCAAAAUCUGUCUCAUAAAAAGAAAGAAACACUUGAAUUAAAUUCAUAUUGACAUUAAAAAAGGUGUCUCCUUAUUCCCCACAAAAUGAUUCACAUCAAGAUGACAACUAGUAGAACUAGCGAUAUGGUUAUGCUGAUGGGAGAAAGACACUUUUGCUUGUUCGCGAACGAUGAACUUGGCCUUGGUGAAUUGGAACUUUGUUGAAUGGGGCACAGCUCUUCAAGCCCUUCAAUCCUAAAUUUUUGAAACAUAGUAAAAAAAAAUAUUUUUUUUUGUCACAGCAGAUAGGAAAUCACAAGAUGAAAAAUGUGCAGCCUAUCAUAGCUUUAUAACGUAUGAUCUCGUGGUGGUACGAGAGACAUACAACAACAUCUCUACAUUAAGUAUAUUUCCAAGAUAUAUAUGAGAAUGAAUUUCCAUUAUUAUUCAAAUGUAAAGGACUGGGGCUUUUCAUUUGAAGUAAUAUGAGGACAAACCUUAAAGAAGGACGCCCGUUUGUUAAUUUUUCGCAAAGGUCUUCAGGCGGACGAGUGAUGUUAUUGCCAACCAAAUUCCUGAUAGAAAGGUUGAGAGGCAUCAUUUUAUCGGUGAUAUACUUAAUUAGUGUGUACUGAUGAAUUCAAAAUCCUGAAACUCACAGCAACUUAAGAGCAGGUAAUUCUGCCAAAAAGUCUGGAAAUGAGCCCGAGAGAUUGUUGUUUGACAAAUCCCUAUAACAAAAAAACGAAUAAUAUAAACCUUCAAAGUAUCACCUCCACCCAAAUCUUUCAAAACCGCAGGAGGAGUUCUUACAAGGUUGUUAAGGCGGUGAGGAUCGCAAUGGAGCCAGGAAUUCCACCAACUAGUCCUCUCGAUGAUAAGUUCCUGCAUUAUUGAUAUAAAGUCAAACUCAGAUAAAUAAAUGGCUGGAGUUGGAUAUUUGGGUUUAGUUUCGUAUCGAAUGGGCUCAACCCCCUUACAAAGAGAUGAUCCUUGGGGCCUCGAAGCCGUCAGAGUAGUUGCAGCGCAACCCAUCCCAGGUAUAGUCUUUGGGGACACAUGGGUCCCCCUGCCAAAUUUUCGUCAGAUUGUACGCUGUUCUGAUGUCUUGGAUCGCUCGAACUGGACAGAAGAUCGCGGUAAAUAAAUAGCCGAGAUGUGAAAAUAUAGAACCGGAACACUUUCUUCCCUCACAUUGAAUCUAGGUAGCCAAGCAAAAAAAAUGCCAUGGAAAUCGAGACACUUGGGUAGAAUCCUUGGGGUCUUCCUUAUAAGGAGGCUAGGACCAAACCGAUAGUUUUACAGUUGGCUCGCUCAUACUUUUGAAAACGCAGUUCGAGAUAAAUGACCAAUUUUUUUCGAAAGGAAAAACGAGGGUUCGCGUGACUAAAUUAAAAUGGGAGGUAAGUCGGGUCUCACCAUCGCCGAGGUCAGUCGGAAGUUGGUCGACUUUCCGCACCAGAAAGCUCUCCAUGGCGUUGAUCAUCGGAGGCAACGUCGAUGACCUCAAGGGGAUCAGAGAGAUGUUGUAUAUCCCCGUCUGCCCGACUGCGGCGUCGGUGAUCUCUACGUGAUCUGCCUCAAGGAACGGAGGGCUGUAAGUCGUUAAACUCUUUUGAGUGCUACCCUCCCCGAGGAUGUCCAUGAUCCUCGUCUGUUCGAGGGGGCUCAAAAUUUGGAGCUCGGCGAAGUGCAGGACGGCGUAGACUAUGUCAUCCGGAUCUUCGACGAGCGUCCGGAGGAUCAACGAGUAGCUGACGUUUGGAGCCGAGACGGCCGUCCUCAGAACGAGCGAUGGUACCUGGAAGGGGUCAGUUGGUGUCGCCUCCACAGGUCUGGUGGUGCUGAUCACAGGUAAACUCCCCGCCAAGCCUUGCCAGAUGCGGUCGUAGGGGUCUUCUGGGUACCUACAAGCGAGUUGACUUCUCUUCUCAGAUUCAUGCUGACGGCCGAUCGCUCAUGGAAGGAAGCCCCUACUUAGUAUCUAAUUUACUGCAUAACGAAGACAGCAAGGGGGGGGGGGGGUUUGGGGUGGGCGCGCGGGCGUUGGCCAAGUGUGCGUUGUUCAUGUGGAUGCCUUUCACCUGAACAGGGCCUCUGUUCCGAAGUUCAGGCGCUGUUGGAGAUGUAAACUCUGAGACGCGUUGGCGUGGGGGUAUAAGAAGUUUGGUAGCGGCCUCAGCUGGAUCGUGGAUAUGAUGGGUGUCCCCUUCUUCUUGUUGAUUAGGCAGACCCAUAAAUUGUCCCCCUGGGCGGCCGCGAUGACCUCAGAGAUACUGCUGUCGUUUGAUGAUAAUCGGAUGGUGAGCCUGGCGUUGACUCCGAUGUGCAGCUCGAACUCGGGGGGGCUUUGCCGGCCGUCGUAGUCGCCAUAGAAGAACCCGGCUCGCACCAGGUACUUGCUCCCUGGCUGCACUGGCCGGAGGUUGUAGCAGUUCCGAACCCCCUCCGGAAAGACGCGGAGGGUCUGGUAGCGCCUAGGGAGGUCAUCCGCCGCAACGGUCUUCGCCUCCCCCACGUCGACGUACUGGGUAUCGGGGACGUAGGUUAUCCCGGUGGCGUUGUCUGGGUAGCCCGGCCCAUCAGGCAGGCCGCAGUCAACGCUGAUGAAUCCUGCAUGAUCCAUUUGGUUCAUUAAUGUGUACAUCGGGCAGUGAGAGGAAAAAUAGAGUGCCUACCUACCUGGCUGUGCUCCAACCAGGGCGUGUUCUAGUCUCAGGAAGAAGAAGAGGAAGAGGAAGAGGAAGAAGAAGGUGCACGGAAGGCCUCGACUCGGUGGAGAGUUCAUCUCUCUCGUUACCUCCGGCGAGGGAAGGCUUCGGCUGGAGUGGCGAUAGACGGAU